RNAcentral lists this ribosomal RNA (396 nucleotides) under uncultured bacterium. Its description in RNAcentral is "partial 16S ribosomal RNA". It matches the Rfam family "Bacterial small subunit ribosomal RNA", at positions 523 to 918 of the family's 1533-position model. The record is from RNAcentral.
AUACGUAGGUGGCAAGCGUUAUCCGGAUUUACUGGGUGUAAAGGGCGCGUAGGCGGGGGUGCAAGUCAGAUGUGAAAUCUAUGGGCUUAACUCAUAAACUGCAUUUGAAACUGUAUCUCUUGAGUGCUGGAGAGGUAGACGGAAUUCCUUGUGUAGCGGUGAAAUGCGUAGAUAUAAGGAAGAACACCAGUGGCGAAGGCGGUCUACUGGACAGUAACUGACGCUGAGGCGCGAAAGCGUGGGGAGCAAACAGGAUUAGAUACCCUGGUAGUCCACGCUGUAAACGAUGAAUACUAGGUGUGGGGGGACUGACCCCCUCCGUGCCGCAGUUAACACAAUAAGUAUUCCACCUGGGGAGUACGGCCGCAAGGUUGAAACUUAAAGGAAUUGACGGGG